This 246-nucleotide ribosomal RNA is filed under the name Triticum aestivum (bread wheat). RNAcentral's name for it is "partial small subunit ribosomal RNA". Lineage: Eukaryota; Viridiplantae; Streptophyta; Magnoliopsida; Poales; Poaceae. The record is from RNAcentral.
AUGCUACCGAGCCCUCUUUGCUGGAUCCACGUCCGCUCCCUUCUGGCGCCUUACUUGGAAGUGCUAGGGCCCCCUGCGCGUCAAGAUGUUCACCUGGCUGGCCGACCUCGACCGCUGCUAGACUGCCGCAAGGUUGGCUCGCCACGGUCUCCCUCACAACGACAGAUGCGUUCUUUGCGACCAGGAUGCCGAGACCAUGCAACAUAUAAUCGUCGGCUGCCCCUUCUCCAGGCAGAUUUGGCAUGA